RNAcentral lists this ribosomal RNA (468 nucleotides) under uncultured bacterium. RNAcentral describes it as "partial 16S ribosomal RNA". It matches the Rfam family "Bacterial small subunit ribosomal RNA", at positions 28 to 507 of the family's 1533-position model. The record is from RNAcentral.
GACGAACGCUGGCGGCGUGCUUAACACAUGCAAGUCGAACGGAAAGGCCCUGCUUUUGUGGGGUGCUCGAGUGGCGAACGGGUGAGUAACACGUGAGUAACCUGCCCUUGUCUUUGGGAUAACUUCAGGAAACUGGGGCUACUACCGGAUAGGAGCUCCUGCUGCAUGGUGGGGGUUGGAAAGUUUCGGCGGUUGGGGAUGGACUCGCGGCUUAUCAGCUUGUUGGUGGGGUAGUGGCUUACCAAGGCUUUGACGGGUAGCCGGCCUGAGAGGGUGACCGGCCACAAUGGGACUGAGAUACGGCCCAGACUCCUACGGGAGGCAGCAGUGGAGAAUAUUACACAAUGGGCGGAAGCCUGAGGCAGCAACGCCGCGUGCGGGAUGACGGCCUUCGGGUUAUAAACCGCUUUCGCCUGUGACGAAGCGUGAGUGACGGUAAUGGGUAAAGAAGCACCGGCUAACUACGUG